UAAUUAGCUAAUUGGCAGAAAAAUGCAUUAGAAUUAGAAUCUAAUCAAACUUUA
RNAcentral lists this transfer RNA (54 nucleotides) under Habronattus sugillatus. RNAcentral describes it as "tRNA-Leu". Lineage: Eukaryota; Metazoa; Arthropoda; Arachnida; Araneae; Salticidae. The record is from RNAcentral.